CGUUUGAGAUUUGAGAGGGGCUGCUCCUAGUACGAGAGGACCGGAGUGGACGAACCUCUGGUGUUCCGGUUGUCACGCCAGUGGCAUUGCCGGGUAGCUAUGUUCGGAAAAGAUAACCGCUGAAAGCAUCUAAGCGGGAAACUUGCCUCAAGAUGAGAUCUCACUGGGAACUUGAUUCCCCUGAAGGGCCGUCGAAGACUACGACGUUGAUAGGCUGGGUGUGUAAGCGUUGUGAGGCGUUGAGCUAACCAGUACUAAUUGCCCGUGAGGCUUGACCAUAUAACACCCAAACA
This 293-nucleotide ribosomal RNA is filed under the name Pseudomonas aeruginosa. RNAcentral's name for it is "partial 23S ribosomal RNA". It matches the Rfam family "Bacterial large subunit ribosomal RNA", at positions 2652 to 2925 of the family's 2925-position model. The record is from RNAcentral. RNAcentral also lists the same sequence under 4 other names. Lineage: Bacteria; Pseudomonadati; Pseudomonadota; Gammaproteobacteria; Pseudomonadales; Pseudomonadaceae.